Molecule: ribosomal RNA, 500 nt
Filed under: uncultured bacterium
Lineage: Bacteria
Description: partial 16S ribosomal RNA
Rfam family: Bacterial small subunit ribosomal RNA
Source: RNAcentral
AUUGAACGCUGGCGGCGUGCUUAACACAUGCAAGUCGAUCGGUAACGCGGGGGCAACCCUGGCGACGAGAGGCGGACGGGUGAGGAACGCUUGGGAAUCUGCCUAUCAGCGGGGGACAACACGGGGAAACUCGUGCUAAUACCGCAUACGCUCUACGGAGGAAAGCCGGGGACCGCAAGGCCUGGCACUGAUAGAUGAGCCCAAGCCGGAUUAGCUAGUUGGCGGGGUAACGGCCCACCAAGGCGACGAUCCGUAGCUGGUCUGAGAGGACGAUCAGCCACACUGGAACUGAGACACGGUCCAGACUCCUACGGGAGGCAGCAGUGGGGAAUAUUGGACAAUGGGGGAAACCCUGAUCCAGCGACGCCGCGUGGGUGAAGAAGGCCUGCGGGUUGUAAAGCCCUUUCGGUAGGGACGAAAGCUCUCGACCUAACACGUCGGGAGGUUGACUUAACCUACAGUAGAAGCACCGGCUAACUCUGUGCCAGCCGCCGCCGUAA